GACACUUCCAGCGAAAACAGUGGGGAGGUUUCAGAACCUCCUGUAAGAACACCCACUCCUCGCCGGAAACUGUCACGCAGAGAUUCCAGAAGACGUGUUUCCGUUAAGGAGCUUUUAUGUUGGAAGCGAUUACGAAAGCAACCACUGUCGGAAUCUGCUAGUGACUAGAGCAGCCAUGUCUGAGGGGCUCCGUCACAGACAGAGGUUUGUGGACUUGAACAAACUCUGAGGGGAUACUAUUUUACGCACAAGCAGCUCAUCAUCCCAUCACA
Molecule: non-coding RNA, 272 nt
Organism: Podarcis lilfordi (Lilford's wall lizard)
Lineage: Eukaryota; Metazoa; Chordata; Lepidosauria; Squamata; Lacertidae
Source: the annotation of a GenBank genome assembly